Molecule: ribosomal RNA, 254 nt
Filed under: uncultured bacterium
Lineage: Bacteria
Description: partial 16S ribosomal RNA
Rfam family: Bacterial small subunit ribosomal RNA
Source: RNAcentral
UACGUAGGGUGCGAGCGUUGUCCGGAAUUACUGGGCGUAAAGAGCUCGUAGGUGGUUUGUCGCGUUGUUCGUGAAAACUCACAGCUCAACUGUGGGCGUGCGGGCGAUACGGGCAGACUAGAGUACUGCAGGGGAGAACGGAAUUCCUGGUGUAGCGGUGGAAAUGCGCAGAUAUCAGGAGGAACACCGGUGGCGAAGGCGGUUCUCUGGGCAUGUCCUGACGCUGAGGAGCGAAAGUGUGGGGAGCGAACAGG